RNAcentral lists this ribosomal RNA (509 nucleotides) under Salmonella enterica. Its description in RNAcentral is "partial 23S ribosomal RNA". It matches the Rfam family "Bacterial large subunit ribosomal RNA", at positions 711 to 1218 of the family's 2925-position model. The record is from RNAcentral. Lineage: Bacteria; Pseudomonadati; Pseudomonadota; Gammaproteobacteria; Enterobacterales; Enterobacteriaceae.
AGACCCGAAACCCGGUGAUCUAGCCAUGGGCAGGUUGAAGGUUGGGUAACACUAACUGGAGGACCGAACCGACUAAUGUUGAAAAAUUAGCGGAUGACCUGUGGCUGGGGGUGAAAGGCCAAUCAAACCGGGAGAUAGCUGGUUCUCCCCGAAAGCUAUUUAGGUAGCGCCUCGUGAAUUCAUCUCCGGGGGUAGAGCACUGUUUCGGCUAGGGGGCCAUCCCGGCUUACCAACCCGAUGCAAACUGCGAAUACCGGAGAAUGUUAUCACGGGAGACACACGGCGGGUGCUAACGUCCGUCGUGAAGAGGGAAACAACCCAGACCGCCAGCUAAGGUCCCAAAGUCAUGGUUAAGUGGGAAACGAUGUGGGAAGGCCCAGACAGCCAGGAUGUUGGCUUAGAAGCAGCCAUCAUUUAAAGAAAGCGUAAUAGCUCACUGGUCGAGUCGGCCUGCGCGGAAGAUGUAACGGGGCUAAACCAUGCACCGAAGCUGCGGCAGCGACACUAUG